This is a long non-coding RNA of Corapipo altera (White-ruffed manakin), 1243 nucleotides long. RefSeq lists it as uncharacterized. The record is from RefSeq and is a predicted model, not a curated record. Lineage: Eukaryota; Metazoa; Chordata; Aves; Passeriformes; Pipridae. The transcript has 4 exons.
UAUAUUGGCCAGUUGUAAAAAUAAUUUAUUCCCUGAAGAGUUUUAUUUCUUUAACAUUUCAAAUUUUUUUGUUCAGUGUUUACCAUGUGACCAUUUUUGACAGAGUGAAAGGAAUACUUUAUUAAAGGAGCUAAUAUAGCUCCUUUUCUUAUGCACAUUUUGACCAUUUUUUAAAAUAAAAGAUCUGGAUGGGAUUUCUAGUAACGCAGAAAAUCUAGUAAACUUUUUUUUUCUUGCAAGUUUCUUUGCAUUACUGUAUUGUCAUCAUGAGGGAGAAAAAAGGAAAUCCUGUCCGGAUUUCUGAUAAAGCUCUAGACCUGCCUACAGAGGACCAAACCCACUUUCCUCCCUUCUUCUAUGUACAUCUUUUUUCUUAAGCUUGCUUCUACCAAGGACUGCAUAGAAUAAAGAUGAGUUCCUUACAGACUAGAAGCCCAGUAGAAGAGCCAUUGUGAUGAAAACCUGUCAAGCAAGCACAGAGCCACUACAGAACUAGCAGGAAAGCUUGCUCAAGCACUAUUCAUUGACUGACAUUGACAGGUAGCUCUGGGACUUAGUUUUCUCUGUAAGUAGCUCAAAUCAUAACGAAAAGAGCUGUCAUGAUGAGGAAGAUGCCCACUUGGAUUAAAAGGGCAAACCUAUGUCGCAUUUGAGAACACCGUAUUGUGGAGGCAGGAACCCAGGUCAUGUUCAGCAGAGGCCUGUGACAUCACAGAACAGGGUGACAUCAUUACACAUGCCUCACUUAUGGCCAUACAUAGUACAGAAUCAAUUAAGGCUGAAGCCAUCUGGGAUGAAGUUCAUCUAAGGAUGAAGAGGAGGAGAAUGAACAGGGGAAGACAGAAGGACUGCUAUGGGUAUUCCAAUUACCUUCAAGCCUUCACUACUAAGUCAUUUGAAUUGAAACUGCUAAAUAUAGAGCUUCCUUUGGGUGCAUGUUUCCAGAGUUAAGCAGGAAGGAUUUUUACCCUCAGCUGCAACUUUGACUCUGACAGUUCACAAAAUAGUGAAGGACGAGCCUGUGCACAAGGUACUCCCAGUACAUCCAAAGGCACUGCCUGUGGGGUUCUGCAGUGAAUUGUCUGCCUACAGGGAAACCUUAGGAAAAGCUUUUAACAGAUUCCUGCAAGAAGAAUUAAAUAGUUCUUCAGAGAAGAGAUGGAAGGAGAAAAAAAUAUCUUUCCAUACCCAGCACCUGCUCCAGCCUCAUAUAACUGGAUGAUUAUAGCAUUCCUGUCUUAAA